GACGAACCGAGCGAACGUUGUUCGGAAUCACUGGGCGUAAAGCGCACGUAGGCGGCUUAGCAAGUCGGAAGUGAAAUCCCUCGGCUCAACCAAGGAAGUGCUUUCGAAACUGCUGAGCUUGAGUACUAAAGAGGAUCGCGGAAUUCCCGGUGUAGAGGUGAAAUUCGUAGAUAUCGGGAGGAACACCAGUGGCGAAGGCGGCGAUCUGGGUAGAUACUGACGCUGAGGUGCGAAAGCGUGGGGAGCAAACAGG
This 253-nucleotide ribosomal RNA is filed under the name uncultured bacterium. RNAcentral's name for it is "partial 16S ribosomal RNA". It matches the Rfam family "Bacterial small subunit ribosomal RNA", at positions 524 to 776 of the family's 1533-position model. The record is from RNAcentral.